Molecule: ribosomal RNA, 253 nt
Filed under: uncultured bacterium
Lineage: Bacteria
Also listed under: 1 other name
Description: partial 16S ribosomal RNA
Rfam family: Bacterial small subunit ribosomal RNA
Source: RNAcentral
UACAGAGGUCUCAAGCGUUGUUCGGAAUCACUGGGCGUAAAGGGUGCGUAGGUGGCGUGGAAAGUCAGAUGUGAAAGCCCGGGGCUCAACCUCGGAAUUGCAUCCGAUACUACCAUGCUAGAGUACUGAAGAGGUGACUAGAAUUCUCGGUGUAGCAGUGAAAUGCGUAGAUAUCGAGAGGAAUACCAACGGCGAAGGCAGGUCACUGGGCAGUUACUGACACUGAGGCACGAAGGCCAGGGGAGCAAACGGG